GGGAUGGAUUUUAUUGACAUGAUUGGUGACAGGGUGACAAUGGUGACAAACCCCUUAUGCUUGUGCAGACCCAAUGGUGUCCCGAUGAAGGGCCGCAGUGUGUUGUGGGGUCAGAAAAGAGCGGGCUUAGGUGGACGGAUGCCAAGGGCAGUCGCCAGCUCUCCAGGCAGGACCCAGUGAAGGAUGUCCUUCUGCAGCACAAACAGGGUGAAGAAGACAAGCUGCAGCAGGCCCAAGAACAGCAGAAACGCCCUGCGGAACAGAAGAAGGUCCAGUCAGAUCCAGGGGCGCGUUUGUCACAGCACUUUCCAUCCAGCCCUGGCAAAUGGCCCGUGGACAUGUGCCAUACAGGGAGCAAGGGAAUCUGUCGUAGGUCUGCGCAGGGGUGCCAAGACCGCCACCCCACCUGCUCUCCCACCCAGGACCCUAAGCAAUACUGAAGCAUUUUAUCUCCAAACAGUCAAAAGCUGCCUGAUGGUCUCUGGACCCCAGGGCGACUCACCG
This 504-nucleotide long non-coding RNA is filed under the name Gallus gallus (chicken). The record is from RNAcentral. Lineage: Eukaryota; Metazoa; Chordata; Aves; Galliformes; Phasianidae.